AUUGAACGCUGGCGGCAUGCCUUACACAUGCAAGUCGAACGGUAGAGGGGGGCAACCCCUUGAGAGUGGCGAACGGGUGAGUAAUAUAUCGGAACGUGCCCAGUCGUGGGGAUAACGUAGCGAAAGUUACGCUAAUACCGCAUACGAUCUAAGGAUGAAAGCGGGGGAUCGCAAGACCUCGCGCGAUUGGAGCGGCCGAUAUCAGAUUAGGUAGUUGGUGAGGUAAAGGCUCACCAAGCCGACGAUCUGUAGCUGGUCUGAGAGGACGACCAGCCACACUGGGACUGAGACACGGCCCAGACUCCUACGGGAGGCAGCAGUGGGGAAUUUUGGACAAUGGGCGCAAGCCUGAUCCAGCAAUGCGCGUGCAGGAUCGAAGGCC
RNAcentral lists this ribosomal RNA (382 nucleotides) under uncultured bacterium. Its description in RNAcentral is "bacterial SSU rRNA". It matches the Rfam family "Bacterial small subunit ribosomal RNA", at positions 30 to 416 of the family's 1533-position model. The record is from RNAcentral.